This 253-nucleotide ribosomal RNA is filed under the name uncultured bacterium. RNAcentral's name for it is "partial 16S ribosomal RNA". It matches the Rfam family "Bacterial small subunit ribosomal RNA", at positions 524 to 776 of the family's 1533-position model. The record is from RNAcentral.
UACGUAGGGUGCGAGCGUUGUCCGGAGUUACUGGGCGUAAAGAGCUCGUAGGUGGUUUGUCGCGUUGUCCGUGAAAACUCACAACUCAAUUGUGGGCGUGCGGGCGAUACGGGCAGACUGGAGUACUGCAGGGGAGACUGGAAUUCCUGGUGUAGCGGUGGAAUGCGCAGAUAUCAGGAGGAACACCGGUGGCGAAGGCGGGUCUCUGGGCAGUAACUGACGCUGAGGAGCGAAAGCGUGGGGAGCGAACAGG